RNAcentral lists this unclassified non-coding RNA (520 nucleotides) under Lactobacillus amylovorus. Its description in RNAcentral is "partial contains 16S ribosomal RNA, 16S-23S intergenic spacer, and 23S ribosomal RNA". The stretch from base 331 to 520 matches the Rfam family "Bacterial large subunit ribosomal RNA", at positions 1 to 193 of the family's 2925-position model. Lineage: Bacteria; Bacillati; Bacillota; Bacilli; Lactobacillales; Lactobacillaceae. The record is from RNAcentral.
AGAGUCUGCAAUGCCCAAAGCCGGUGGCCUAACCUUCGGGAAGGAGCCGUCUAAGGCAGGGCAGAUGACUGGGGUGAAGUCGUAACAAGGUAGCCGUAGGAGAACCUGCGGCUGGAUCACCUCCUUUCUAAGGAAGCGAAGGAUAUGGAGAGUAGAAAUACUAAGAGAAGUAUCCAGAGCAAGCGGAAGCACACUGAGAAACUUUGUUUAGUUUUGAGGGUAGUACCUCAAAGAGUUAGUACAUUGAAAACUGAAUAUAAUCCAAGCAAAAAACCGAGACAAUCAAAGAGAACAGAUUGUAGAGCGACCGAGAAGAGAAUUCUUGAGUAAGGUCAAGUAGAAAAGGGCGCACGGUGAAUGCCUAGGCACUAAAAGCCGAUGAAGGACGUGACGAACUACGAAAAGCUUCGGGGAGCGGUAAGUACGCUAAGAUCCGGAGAUGUCCGAAUGGGGGAACCCAAUGCAGCGAUGCAUUAUUGAAUGAUGAAUAGAUAGUCAUUCAAAGGAAUACGCAGUGAAC